UAGGAACCAGUGGGUAUAAUAACAGUUC
RNAcentral lists this small RNA (28 nucleotides) under Bombyx mori (domestic silkworm). Its description in RNAcentral is "ovarian small RNA-22626". Lineage: Eukaryota; Metazoa; Arthropoda; Insecta; Lepidoptera; Bombycidae. The record is from RNAcentral.